AAUGAACGCUGGCGGCGUGCUUAACACAUGCAAGUCGAGCGAGGCGGAAGGGGGCAACUCCUUCCAGUCGAGCGGCGGACGGGUGAGUAACACGUGGGUAAACCUGCCCGGAAGUGGGGAAUACCUCGGGGAAACUCGAGCCAAUACCGCAUGACAUCUUCGGGACGAAAGUCCUGACGAUCAAAGCGGGGUCGCAAGAUCUCGCGCUACCGGAUGGGCCCGCGCCCGAUUAGCUAGUUGGGAGGUAACGGCUCACCAAGGCUUCGAUCGGUAACCGGCCUGAGAGGGCGAUCGGUCACACCGGAACUGAGACACGGUCCGGACUCCUACGGGAGGCAGCAGUGGGGAAUCUUGCGCAAUGGGCGAAAGCCUGACGCAGC
This 380-nucleotide ribosomal RNA is filed under the name uncultured bacterium. Its description in RNAcentral is "bacterial SSU rRNA". It matches the Rfam family "Bacterial small subunit ribosomal RNA", at positions 29 to 392 of the family's 1533-position model. The record is from RNAcentral.